GUGGGGAAUAUUGGACAAUGGGCGCAAGCCUGAUCCAGCCAUGCCGCGUGAGUGAUGAAGGCCUUAGGGUUGUAAAGCUCUUUCGCCGGUGAAGAUAAUGACGGUAACCGGAGAAGAAGCCCCGGCUAACUUCGUGCCAGCAGCCGCGGUAAUACGAAGGGGGCUAGCGUUGCUCGGAAUCACUGGGCGUAAAGCGCACGUAGGCGGAUCGUUAAGUCAGGGGUGAAAUCCUGGGGCUCAACCUCAGAACUGCCCUUGAUACUGGCGAUCUCGAGUUCGAGAGAGGUUGGUGGAACUCCGAGUGUAGAGGUGAAAUUCGUAGAUAUUCGGAAGAACACCAGUGGCGAAGGCGGCCAACUGGCUCGAUACUGACGCUGAGGUGCGAAAGCGUGGGGAGCAAACAGGAUUAGAUACCCGAGUAGUCC
RNAcentral lists this ribosomal RNA (425 nucleotides) under uncultured Thauera sp. Its description in RNAcentral is "bacterial SSU rRNA". It matches the Rfam family "Bacterial small subunit ribosomal RNA", at positions 354 to 796 of the family's 1533-position model. Lineage: Bacteria; Pseudomonadati; Pseudomonadota; Betaproteobacteria; Rhodocyclales; Zoogloeaceae. The record is from RNAcentral.